RNAcentral lists this ribosomal RNA (501 nucleotides) under uncultured Desulfobulbus sp. RNAcentral describes it as "bacterial SSU rRNA". It matches the Rfam family "Bacterial small subunit ribosomal RNA", at positions 904 to 1382 of the family's 1533-position model. Lineage: Bacteria; Pseudomonadati; Thermodesulfobacteriota; Desulfobulbia; Desulfobulbales; Desulfobulbaceae. The record is from RNAcentral.
GCCAGCCCGCUCAGAACUCAAGGAAUUGACGGGGCCGCACAAGCGGUGGAGUAUGUGGUUUAAUUCGAUGCAACGCGAAGAACCUUACCUGGUCCUGACAUCCCGGAGACCCUUAGGAAACUAGGGGGUGCUUCCAUCUGGAAGAAUCUGGAGACAGGUGCUGCAUGGCUGUCGUCAGCUCGUGUCGUGAGAUGUUGGGUUAAGUCCCGCAACGAGCGCAACCCUUGCCUUUAGUUGCCAGCAGUUCGGCUGGGCACUCUAAAGGGACUGCCGGUGUUAAACCGGAGGAAGGUGGGGAUGACGUCAAGUCCUCAUGGCCUUUAUGACCAGGGCUACACACGUACUACAAUGGCCGAUACAAAGGGCAGCGACACUGCGAGGUGAAGCCAAUCCCGUAAAAUCGGUCUCAGUCCGGAUUGGAGUCUGCAACUCGACUCCAUGAAGUUGGAAUCGCUAGUAAUCGUGGAUCAGCAUGCCACGGUGAAUACGUUCCCGGGCCUU